This 301-nucleotide ribosomal RNA is filed under the name uncultured bacterium. RNAcentral's name for it is "partial 16S ribosomal RNA". It matches the Rfam family "Bacterial small subunit ribosomal RNA", at positions 509 to 807 of the family's 1533-position model. The record is from RNAcentral.
CAGUAGCCACGGUAAUACGAACCGUGCGAACGUUAUCCGGAAUUACUGGGCUUAAAGCGCGUGUAGGCGGGCCGCCACGUCGGUUGCUGAAAUCCCCCGGCUCAACCGGGGAAGUGGCAUCGAUACGAGCGGCCUUGAGGGGGGUAGGGGGAUCUGGAACUUCCGGUGGAGCGGUGAAAUGCGUUGAGAUCGGAAGGAACGCCCGUGGCGAAAGCGAGGUCCUGGACCCCUUCUGACGCUGAGACGCGAAAGCCAGGGGAGCGAACGGGAUUAGAUACCCGAGUAGUCCCUGUCUCUUAUU